CAGUCGCCGCGGUAAUACAGAGGGUGCAAGCGUUAAUCGGAAUUACUGGGCGUAAAGCGCGCGUAGGUGGUUUGUUAAGUUGGAUGUGAAAUCUCCGGGCUCAACCUGGGAACUGCAUCCAAAACUGGCAAGCUAGAGUAUGGCAGAGGGUGGUGGAAUUUCCUGUGUAGCGGUGAAAUGCGUAGAUAUAGGAAGGAACACCAGUGGCGAAGGCGACCACCUGGACUGAUACUGACACUGAGGUGCGAAAGCGUGGGGAGCAAACAGGAUUAGAUACCCGGGUAGUCCCUGUCUCUUAUAC
RNAcentral lists this ribosomal RNA (301 nucleotides) under uncultured bacterium. RNAcentral describes it as "partial 16S ribosomal RNA". It matches the Rfam family "Bacterial small subunit ribosomal RNA", at positions 509 to 807 of the family's 1533-position model. The record is from RNAcentral.